CACUAAGCGGGAGGUAAACUCCUUCUAAGACUAAAUAUUGCCAUGAGACCGAUAGCGAACAAGUACCGUGAGGGAAAGUUGAAAAGCACUCUGAAUAGAGAGUCAAAAAGUACGUGAAACUGUCUAGGGUUAAGAAAGCAUGAAGUGUCUAAAUAUCUGAAUGGAGAAAUUCAGUAUCAUAUUGUUGUAAUUAGAUUGUUAAUGAAGCAUAUGGUGUGCACUUUUCUCCUUGUAAGACACUGCGAUCCAUUAGAACCUUGUGUUAAUAAUUACCAUGUUGUGAAUUAUUAUAUCUAUCAAUGGGCCUGGCAUGGAGCUUACAUAUUUAAUGUUAGUACUAUAUAUUGUUAAGGUGAUAUACAGGAAAGCAAUGUAAACUGCUGGUGUCUCGUAUAGAUGUCUGAUGGAUUUUAAGCGAUCACAAUAUGACAUCUUUGUGGUGUAACCAGUAAUGGUUUAUUGUAUUGUGUCGGAUCAGCAGUGUAUUUGUUUAGUAAUCUUCAUGA
This 506-nucleotide ribosomal RNA is filed under the name Simulium fenestratum. RNAcentral describes it as "eukaryotic LSU rRNA". It matches the Rfam family "Eukaryotic large subunit ribosomal RNA", at positions 286 to 647 of the family's 3401-position model. Lineage: Eukaryota; Metazoa; Arthropoda; Insecta; Diptera; Simuliidae. The record is from RNAcentral.